Molecule: long non-coding RNA, 434 nt
Filed under: Helianthus annuus (common sunflower)
Lineage: Eukaryota; Viridiplantae; Streptophyta; Magnoliopsida; Asterales; Asteraceae
Description: sRNA HanXRQr2_Chr01g0028391
Source: RNAcentral
UGGGUUCCUCCCUAAAAGCAUGACCCUUUCUCCCAGUUUUGCCCAGUUCAAUGUUUUUCACUACAAAGAAAUCAACCAGCCGAUUGAUCUCUAAUACAAAUAUAACGGCUGCCAUCAAUCAUGUUCAUCAUUGGCAUUAAAAGCUUCGACUAAACUAUUUGAUAUUAAACCCACGCCUCAAUCUCUAGCCUUUUUAUCUUACACCAACACACAUAUCAGAGAGGGAAAGGAGAGCAGGGAAGACGGAUCCAUGGAGAUCGAGAAAACGAUAGCGGUGGCGGUGGUGGUUGUGUUGGCCGCCCAUCAAUUCAAGACCUAACAGGUUAUUGCACCAGCAAUGUCUACAACCUGUGAGUUGGCAAGUGAGUAAACAGAUCCUUUUAAAUUUCAUUUCACACGAAAAAGGCAAUUACAAAGCAAUGGCAGUUGGUUGU